AUACUUACCUGGACGGGGUCGACGGCCGAUCAAGAAGGGUCGUGGCCUAGAUCAAUGGUUCACAUUGCACUUGGUGAAUGCGUUGGUCUACCAUCUCCCCAAGUGGGAGAGUGGACGUCAUAAUUUGUGGUAGAGGGGGUACGCGUUCGCGCGGCCCCUGC
RNAcentral lists this small nuclear RNA (161 nucleotides) under Brachypodium distachyon (stiff brome). RNAcentral's name for it is "snRNA U1". It matches the Rfam family "U1 spliceosomal RNA". Rfam says of the family: U1 is a small nuclear RNA (snRNA) component of the spliceosome (involved in pre-mRNA splicing). Its 5' end forms complementary base pairs with the 5' splice junction, thus defining the 5' donor site of an intron. Lineage: Eukaryota; Viridiplantae; Streptophyta; Magnoliopsida; Poales; Poaceae. The record is from RNAcentral.